This 26-nucleotide non-coding RNA is filed under the name Rattus norvegicus (Norway rat). Lineage: Eukaryota; Metazoa; Chordata; Mammalia; Rodentia; Muridae. The record is from RNAcentral.
UGACAAUAAGGUCUAGACACAGGGAG